AGAGUUUGAUCAUGGCUCAGAACGAACGCUGGCGGCGUGCUUAACACAUGCAAGUCGAGUGCGCGUGCCGUAGCAAUACGGUAUGGCGCACGGCGCACGGGUGCGUAACACGUGGGCAAUCUGCCCUCCGGUGGGGAAUAACCCCGCGAAAGCGGGGCUAAUUCCGCAUAACAUUCCCUGGACUCUGGUUCGGGGAUUCAAAGCAGCAAUGCGCCGGAGGAGGAGCCCGCGCCCGAUUAGCUAGUUGGUGAGGUGACGGCUCACCAAGGCAAUGAUCGGUAGCUGGUCUGAGAGGAUGGCCAGCCACACUGGAACUGAGACACGGUCCAGACUCCUACGGGAGGCAGCAGUGGGGAAUCUUGCGCAAUGGGCGAAAGCCUGACGCAGCGACGCCGCGUGGGGGAUGAAGCUUCUCGGAGUGUAAACCCCUUUCGACCGGGAAGAAUGCCCGCAAGGGAGUGACGGUACCGGUAGAAGAAGCCCCGGCUAACUACGUGCCAGCAGCCGCGGUAAGACGUAGGGGGCCAGCGUUGUUCGGAAUUACUGGGUGUAAAGGGUUCGUAGGCGGUGUGGCAAGUCGGGAGUGAAAUUUCUGGGCUUAACCCAGAAGCUGCUUCCGAAACUGCUGUGCUAGAGUGCGGGAGAGGCGCGUGGAAUUGCAGGUGUAGCGGUGAAAUGCGUAGAUAUCUGCAGGAACACCCGUGGCGAAAGCGGCGCGCUGGACCGUUACUGACGCUGAGGAACGAAAGCUAGGGGAGCAAACAGGAUUAGAUACCCUGGUAGUCCUAGCCCUAAACGAUCAGGACUUGGGGUGCCUUCCGUUCGGAAGUCGUCCCGGAGCUAACGCGUUAAGUCCUGCACCUGGGGAGUACGGUCGCAAGACUGAAACUCAAAGGAAUUGACGGGGCCCGCACAAGCGGUGGAACAUGUGGUUCAAUUCGACGCUACGCGAGGAACCU
This 959-nucleotide ribosomal RNA is filed under the name uncultured bacterium. RNAcentral describes it as "bacterial SSU rRNA". It matches the Rfam family "Bacterial small subunit ribosomal RNA", at positions 8 to 971 of the family's 1533-position model. The record is from RNAcentral.